This is a long non-coding RNA of Hyaena hyaena (striped hyena), 243 nucleotides long. RefSeq lists it as uncharacterized. The transcript has 3 exons. The record is from RefSeq and is a predicted model, not a curated record. NCBI's taxonomy places the organism in Eukaryota, Metazoa, Chordata, Mammalia, Carnivora, Hyaenidae.
AAACUCUCCUUCCCUGUAUAGAUCAGGAAACUGAGGUUCAGGAAGGUGAGAUGACUUGCUGAAGUUAAUCGAGGCAAAACCUCUUCUAAAUUCAGGUAAAAAUUGGAAUCUUAAGAACAGAAUAAGGAGAGAGAAGCUGCAAACCAUACUCCAUUUCUCUGUAGGCUUCUUGAAUCUGAGGAAAUGUGCAGCCUCAAUUUGAAGACACACAUCUGGGUCCUGGUGUGGUGCUUAUUCGCCAAU